AUGCAGCUAGGGCCGAGGUGUGUUCUGAAGCAACCAGUGGCUGGGCAUGCAGUGAGGAUCGGGAAAGCCCCGGAGGAAAGGGAGAUGAACCCAAAUAGGAAAUCAACUCUUGAAUUGUCUCUGCGCGCUUAUGCUGAUAAGAAGGAUGGCCCUGUUCUCUGUCCAAGUAUUGGAACAAGCUUUGACUCUAUUGACGAGGCUUAUGAGUUCUACAAUCUUUAUUCAUGGGAAUGUGGUUUUGGAGUUAGGCUCGCGAAAAGUAGACUGAAUGUCGAGAGGAAGAGAUGCAUGCAAGAGAUCGUGUGUGCUUGUGCAGGCAAACCAAUCAGGGAAAACAGCCGCUCGUCCAGGUGUGGCUGCAACGCCAUGAUAAGACUGUUGCGGUCAAAUGACAAAGGGUGGUAUAUUGCAGAACACAAAGAUGCCCAUAAUCACCCGCUGUCUUUGACGUGUGGGCAGAAGCUGCACUGGAAGUUUCAUAGACAUAUAGAUAGAUACACCAAGGAUCUAGUGAAACAGUUGAGAGACAAUAAUGUGGGGCUUGGAAAGGUGUUCAGUAUCGUUGGUAGUUUUUUCGGUUCAGUAGAUAAUGUGCCAUUUACGAAGAGGUCGUUGAAGACGCUCUGUCGGAAACUAAACAAAGAGCAGUCUGACAUGGAUGCAAUGAAGAUGAUGGAGAUUCUGUCUGAGAUGAAGGCUAAUGAUCCUGAUUUCAAUUACACAGUGCAAGUGGAUAAGGAGAGCCGUGUAAAAACACUGAUGUGGGUAACAAGCAAAGGUCUUGAUCAGUACAGGUGCUUUGGAGAUGCAAUUACUUUUGAUACAACGUACCGCACCAAUCUAUAUGAUAUGCCUUUCGGUCUUUUGUUGGAGUUAACAAUCACUUUCAAAGCAUAA
RNAcentral lists this ribosomal RNA (897 nucleotides) under Triticum aestivum (bread wheat). Its description in RNAcentral is "partial small subunit ribosomal RNA". The record is from RNAcentral. Lineage: Eukaryota; Viridiplantae; Streptophyta; Magnoliopsida; Poales; Poaceae.